GAUGAACGCUGGCGGCGUGCCUAAUACAUGCAAGUCGAGCGAACAGAUAAGGAGCUUGCUCCUUUGACGUUAGCGGCGGACGGGUGAGUAACACGUGGGUAACCUACCUAUAAGACUGGGAUAACUUCGGGAAACCGGAGCUAAUACCGGAUAACAUUUGGAACCGCAUGGUUCUAAAGUGAAAGAUGGUUUUGCUAUCACUUAUAGAUGGACCCGCGCCGUAUUAGCUAGUUGGUAAGGUAACGGCUUACCAAGGCGACGAUACGUAGCCGACCUGAGAGGGUGAUCGGCCAAACUGGAACUGAGACACGGUCCCGACUCCUACGGGAGGCAGCAGUAGGGAAUCUUCCGCCAAGGGCGAAAGCCUGACGGAGCAACGCCGCGUGAGUGAUGAAGGGUUUCGGCUCGUAAAACUCUGUUAUUAGGGAAGAACAAAUGUGUAAGUAACUGUGCACGUCUUGACGGUACCUAAUCAGAAAGCCACGGCUAACUACGUG
This 497-nucleotide ribosomal RNA is filed under the name uncultured bacterium. RNAcentral's name for it is "partial 16S ribosomal RNA". It matches the Rfam family "Bacterial small subunit ribosomal RNA", at positions 28 to 507 of the family's 1533-position model. The record is from RNAcentral.